UCCUAGCCCUGAUAGAAGCGGAAAUCCUUUUGUGACGCUUCUUUAGCGGAACAAAAGAUUGUAGCGGAUAGCAGGAUUAGCU
Molecule: small RNA, 82 nt
Filed under: Flavobacterium hercynium
Lineage: Bacteria; Pseudomonadati; Bacteroidota; Flavobacteriia; Flavobacteriales; Flavobacteriaceae
Description: Flavo-1 RNA
Rfam family: Flavo-1 RNA
Source: Rfam by way of RNAcentral